RNAcentral lists this ribosomal RNA (424 nucleotides) under uncultured bacterium. Its description in RNAcentral is "bacterial SSU rRNA". It matches the Rfam family "Bacterial small subunit ribosomal RNA", at positions 356 to 772 of the family's 1533-position model. The record is from RNAcentral.
GGGGAAUUUUGGACAAUGGGGGCAACCCUGAUCCAGCAAUGCCGCGUGAGUGAAGAAGGCCUUCGGGUUGUAAAGCUCUUUUGUCCGGGAAGAAACGGUCCGUGUUAAUACCAUGGGCUAAUGACGGUACUGGAAGAAUAAGAACCGGCUAACUACGUGCCAGCAGCCGCGGUAAUACGUAGGGUGCGAGCGUUAAUCGGAAUUACUGGGCGUAAAGCGUGCGCAGGCGGUUGUGCAAGACAGAUGUGAAAUCCCCGGGCUCAACCUGGGAACUGCAUUUGUGACUGCACGGCUAGAGUGUGUCAGAGGGGGGUAGAAUUCCACGUGUAGCAGUGAAAUGCGUAGAGAUGUGGAGGAAUACCGAUGGCGAAGGCAGCCCCCUGGGAUAACACUGACGCUCAUGCACGAAAGCGUGGGGAGCAAA